RNAcentral lists this ribosomal RNA (484 nucleotides) under uncultured bacterium. RNAcentral describes it as "partial 16S ribosomal RNA". It matches the Rfam family "Bacterial small subunit ribosomal RNA", at positions 29 to 507 of the family's 1533-position model. The record is from RNAcentral.
AUUGAACGCUGGCGGCAUGCUUUACACAUGCAAGUCGAACGGCAGCGCGGGCUUCGGCCUGGCGGCGAGUGGCGAACGGGUGAGUAAUACAUCGGAACGUGCCCAGUAGUGGGGGAUAGCUCGGCGAAAGCCGGAUUAAUACCGCAUACGACCUGAGGGUGAAAGCGGGGGAUCUUCGGACCUCGCGCUAUUGGAGCGGCCGAUGGCAGAUUAGCUAGUUGGUGGGGUAAAGGCCUACCAAGGCGACGAUCUGUAGCUGGUCUGAGAGGACGACCAGCCACACUGGGACUGAGACACGGCCCAGACCCCUACGGGAGGCAGCAGUGGGGAAUUUUGGACAAUGGGCGAAAGCCUGAUCCAGCAAUGCCGCGUGUGUGAUGAAGGCCUUCGGGUUGUAAAGCACUUUUGGCGGGAACGAAAAGGACUGUGCCAAUACCACGGUCCGAUGACGGUACCCGCAGAAUAAGCACCGGCUAACUACGUG